AACAUGCUCCCUUAGAUCCAUCUUUGUUUGAUCUCUCUUAUGCUGAGUUCUGCUUGAAGCUUUGGUUUUGAGCAGUUCCACCUAAGAGGGAUUAGCAACUUUAUGGUUGUACAGUCAAAGAUGCUUGAGUCAUUGGCAUGUGAGAGUAAUAUACCUUCACUCUAGUCUCAUGUUCUGAUAGAAAUGACUAAUGUGUCAUUUUUGACUGUCAGGAUUUUGCUGGAGUGUGGACAUG
RNAcentral lists this small nucleolar RNA (235 nucleotides) under Pogona vitticeps (central bearded dragon). RNAcentral describes it as "Small nucleolar RNA SNORA53 (ENSPVIG00000015719.1)". It matches the Rfam family "Small nucleolar RNA SNORA53". Rfam says of the family: The snoRNA ACA53 belongs to the H/ACA family of pseudouridylation guide snoRNAs. The record is from Rfam by way of RNAcentral. Lineage: Eukaryota; Metazoa; Chordata; Lepidosauria; Squamata; Agamidae.